RNAcentral lists this ribosomal RNA (912 nucleotides) under Triticum aestivum (bread wheat). RNAcentral describes it as "partial small subunit ribosomal RNA". The record is from RNAcentral. Lineage: Eukaryota; Viridiplantae; Streptophyta; Magnoliopsida; Poales; Poaceae.
AUGGCGGCGGCAGGCGGCGGAGGGGCGUUCGGUGGCGGGGCUGGCGGCGGGGCGUUCGGGGGAGGGGCGUUUGGCGGCGGGGCUGGUGUCGGAGGGGUCGGCGGUGGCGGUGCUGGUGGAGGGGCGUUCGGCGGCGCGGCUGGCGGCGGAGGGGCCGGCGGUGGCGGGGAUGAGCAGCCGUGGCUUCGUCUGCCUACGUACGCGCAGCUACUGCUCAGCUCCCUGCGGGCCACCUGCACGACCUUCGAGGAUCUGCGGGAGCGGGCUGGCACCCUUGCCAAGCUCGCGAACGACCUACAGACUGGUGUCAUUGCGGGCAACGUGGGGAUCCUCACGACAGCUGCGGUGAAGUUUGGGCACCGUAAGGUCGUUGAUAUUUUCCAUGAAAGGUUCUAUCCCAAGCGUGGAUCUCUGCAGUACGCUAGAGAUAUCACGCUAAGGCUGCAGAGCUCACGGCCCGAUUUUGAUGCUUGGAUACUGGCAUCCCUUGAUCGUGCUCAGUCAAGGCCUCUGUCAUCGUUCCUUCAGUAUGCUGGCAGGGAACUCAACAGGAUAAAGGGUCAUAUAAGGAACGCUGGGGUUAACACUAUAGUUGAGCUUCUUGAAUUACAUGCCCUCAACGAGAAUGCAGAGGAUUUCCUGCAAAGAGCCGCAGUACUGUAUGGCCCGACCAGGGAUGCUCUCAGCUAUGGUUUAGCAGAGCUUCGUCAGGCGGUUGCGGCUGUCACUGAUCUCGUCACUAGGUUCAACGAAGAGCCACCUGCCGUCCGUCAUCUUUUCAGCCCAUUUACCUCGGCAGGCCCACUGGGAAAAAAAGUCUGUUCUAAGCUAUGUGAGGAGGAAGCACACAACUCAAGACAUCUGAUAAGCCCGUGGUGCUCAAUGGUUGGGCUUGCAGUUAUAGCAGCGUAA